GUCUACGGCCAUACCACCCUGAACAUGCCUGAUCUUGUCUGAUCUCGGAAGCUAAACAGGGUCAGGCCUGGUUAGUACUUGGAUGGGAGAUA
RNAcentral lists this ribosomal RNA (92 nucleotides) under Erinaceus europaeus (western European hedgehog). Lineage: Eukaryota; Metazoa; Chordata; Mammalia; Eulipotyphla; Erinaceidae. The record is from RNAcentral.